UACGAAGGGGGCUAGCGUUGCUCGGAAUCACUGGGCGUAAAGGGUGCGUAGGCGGGUCUUUAAGUCAGGGGUGAAAUCCUGGAGCUCAACUCCAGAACUGCCUUUGAUACUGAAGAUCUUGAGUUCGGGAGAGGUGAGUGGAACUGCGAGUGUAGAGGUGAAAUUCGUAGAUAUUCGCAAGAACACCUGUGGCGAAAGCGGCUCACUGGACCAUAACUGACGCUGAUGCACGAAAGCUGGGGGAGCAAACAGG
RNAcentral lists this ribosomal RNA (253 nucleotides) under uncultured bacterium. RNAcentral's name for it is "partial 16S ribosomal RNA". It matches the Rfam family "Bacterial small subunit ribosomal RNA", at positions 524 to 776 of the family's 1533-position model. The record is from RNAcentral.